AAAUUGAAGAGUUUGAUCAUGGCUCAGAUUGAACGCUGGCGGCAGGCCUAACACAUGCAAGUCGAACGGUAACAGAAAGCAGCUUGCUGCUUUGCUGACGAGUGGCGGACGGGUGAGUAAUAUCUGGGAAACUGCCUGAUGGAGGGGGAUAACUACUGGAAACGGUAGCUAAUACCGCAUAACGUCGCAAGACCAAAGAGGGGGACCUUCGGGCCUCUUGCCAUCGGAUGUGCCCAGAUGGGAUUAGCUAGUAGGUGGGGUAA
RNAcentral lists this ribosomal RNA (263 nucleotides) under Escherichia coli. RNAcentral describes it as "partial 16S ribosomal RNA". It matches the Rfam family "Bacterial small subunit ribosomal RNA", at positions 1 to 260 of the family's 1533-position model. The record is from RNAcentral. Lineage: Bacteria; Pseudomonadati; Pseudomonadota; Gammaproteobacteria; Enterobacterales; Enterobacteriaceae.